CGCCGGAGUCGGCCGAGCAGCGUUUUUACAUAUCUCCUCUCUGAGAGAGCUGUUCACCGCCGCUCUUCACCCACAUGAACGCUGAAGAGCAGCGCUGUUUCGUUUUGUUUCGCUGAGAUGGUGGGGGGUGCGUGCGUUCAGAAGGCAAACCGUGACUUGAAGACGGGGAGAGUUCUGAAAAACUGCAAAGCGGCGGUGGAAACUGGAGAUGAAAGGGAAGUGGCUUGUCUUUUUGGCGGGUGCGCCGCGUGAGCACCGUCUGACUGCGGGAGGGGUAAAGAGAGCCCCACGGUGCAGUCGAUGAGGCCAGGCGGGGCGCAGCAGAUGCCCCUCAGCAGGACCCCAUCUCCCCCCUGAGCAGGAAGGUGGCCGUUCUCUCUCUCUCUCCGUCUCUCUCCAUC
Molecule: long non-coding RNA, 401 nt
Organism: Anguilla anguilla (European eel)
Lineage: Eukaryota; Metazoa; Chordata; Actinopteri; Anguilliformes; Anguillidae
Exons: 3
Source: RefSeq, a predicted model, not a curated record